GUUAAAGUAUAAAAGGUGGCCUCAGCUACCACCCACUAAUGGACCCACCGCCCACUCGCUAGCUGGUUAGGGAACGGCCCACCCAGGCAACCAAGCAUACCCAACCUGACAGGGUGAUCGGCCACCCUGGGACUGACACACAGCCCACACUCCCACCGGAGGGAGGCGUCGGGAAUCUUCCUCCCUGGACGAAAGUCUGACUGACCGACGCCCCCCGAGUGAUUAAUGUUUUCUGAUCGAAAAGCUCUCUUGGUUGGGAAGAACGAAUACCGUUCGAAUAGGGCGGUACCUUGACGACACCUCCUCAGAAAACCACCGCUGACUACUUCCCGCCAGCCGCCGCAGUACUUCGGUGGGGGCCGUUGUCCGGAAUUAUUGGUGGGCAAGGACUCCCCGGCGGCUUCUUUGUUCGGAUGUUGUUUCCACCCGCUAACCAGGCAGGGUCGCUUCAAACUGUGGGAGAUGUGUGCGCAAAAGAAGAAAGUAAACCCCCGCGUGUCGCUGAGAAACGUAUACAUAUGUGGAAACACACGUGUCGAAGCGAGACUCUCU
This 552-nucleotide ribosomal RNA is filed under the name Bacillus subtilis. Its description in RNAcentral is "bacterial SSU rRNA". It matches the Rfam family "Bacterial small subunit ribosomal RNA", at positions 192 to 730 of the family's 1533-position model. Lineage: Bacteria; Bacillati; Bacillota; Bacilli; Caryophanales; Bacillaceae. The record is from RNAcentral.